Dreissena polymorpha is the source of this 1352-nucleotide long non-coding RNA. RefSeq lists it as uncharacterized. Lineage: Eukaryota; Metazoa; Mollusca; Bivalvia; Myida; Dreissenidae. The record is from RefSeq and is a predicted model, not a curated record. The transcript has 4 exons.
UACACCCUUUCAGUUAUUAACUGAUUAUAAUUACCUCCCCUGAAUGACGUCAUCCGGGGAUACCCGAUUAUCGACUGUAAGCAAACAAAGAGAUGUCUGUUUGACAAUGUGUGUUUUCAACGGUGUAAAUGGACUUAAAAUAUGAACGAAAAGAUUAAUGACCACGACUAUGCUGUCCAGUUUUACACAGCAACACCAGUAUUCGACUCAAAACCGGAUGGAAAACAGAUUCAAGACAUUACCAUAUCACUCGAGAAGAAGUCAAAGUCCGACAGGAUCUGCUGUGUGCCCAAAUGUCACACCACUGGCUACGGAUUGUUAGAAGGCCAUGGAAAGCCCAGCUAUCAUGCAUUUCCAGCUGAGUGAAGAUGAUCCAGUUCAAGCUGUUUGGUUGAAUAAAAUACGAAGAGAUGAAGACAGACAUUUUAAGAUAAGUCACAAUACGGUUGUCUGUUUUCUCCAUUUUGAACGUGACUGUCUUGAUGAAUUUGGAUUUGCUAAGCGGAGGUAUCUAAAACCAGGAGCCAUCCCUACACUAUUCGACUGCUGGAAGGACAAACCGCAUCUGUUGAAGCGAAUUCACGUGGAACGUGCAAUUAACAAAAUUAAAAGUUUUCACAUAUUUGAUCAGGUCAUUCCGGUUUCUCUGUUUGGGACAAUUAAUCAAAUUUGGACAGUUUGCUCAUUGCUCACUCUUUUCCAAGACCCAAUUAUAUCAUGUCCUGGUGUUUAACAUACAUACCAUUUAUAUGAACAUAUGUUGUUCGUGUACAUCAUACUACAUGUAGGUUAAUGAAAUACCAUUGGCUGUUCAUGUAAUAUUUGUACAUUUUUUGGCUUUGUAUAAAGUUUUUGAUAAUUAUCGUGAUAUAAGCAUUGAUUUAGUUACAGAUUAAUGCUUAAAGAGUACUUAAAGCUACACACCUUGAAAUAAAGUAAAGUAACUUUUUAAAGCGCAAAAAAGAUGGCUUUCUACCUUGUUACCACCAGAUAUAUUCUAGUUGGCAUAAUAAAAUUAAAUCUAUAGCCUAGUUUAAUAGCAAGUUAUUUAUAUUUUUUUUCAAACAAUACUGCUUUUAAAACCGAAAGUAGGAUUUCCAGACGUACACAUCCAUUUCGACAAACGCGAUUAUUUUUAAGUUGUAAAGUGCAAAAAAGAUGGAUUUCUACGGCUUGUAACCACCAGAUAUAUUCUAAUUGACAUAGAUAAAAUAUGUCAUUCAUACUUAAAUUUACUAUGCCAAAUAAGGUGUGUGGCUUUUACAUAAAAAUUGUAUAUACAUCUUUUUAAUCAUGUUUGUUAAUUUGUUUUGAUUGUAUGACUACUGAAUAAAUAAUUUUGUUAAUAGAAA